RNAcentral lists this ribosomal RNA (429 nucleotides) under Gemmatimonadota bacterium. RNAcentral describes it as "Gemmatimonadetes bacterium partial 16S ribosomal RNA". It matches the Rfam family "Bacterial small subunit ribosomal RNA", at positions 355 to 776 of the family's 1533-position model. The record is from RNAcentral. Lineage: Bacteria; Pseudomonadati; Gemmatimonadota.
UAGGGAAUCUUCGGCAAUGGACGAAAGUCUGACCGAGCAACGCCGCGCGAGUGAAGAAGGUUUUCGGAUCGUAAAACUCUGUUGUUAGAGAAGAACAAGGACGUUAGUAACUGAACGUCCCCUGACGGUAUCUAACCAGAAAGCCACGGCUAACUACGUGCCAGCAGCCGCGGUAAUACGUAGGUGGCAAGCGUUGUCCGGAUUUAUUGGGCGUAAAGCGAGCGCAGGCGGUUUAUUAAGUCUGAUGUGAAAGCCCCCGGCUCAACCGGGGAGGGUCAUUGGAAACGGGGAGACUUGAGUGCAGAAGAGGAGAGUGGAAUUCCAUGUGUAGCGGUGAAAUGCGUAGAUAUAUGGAGGAACACCAGUGGCGAAGGCGGCUCUCUGGUCUGUAACUGACGCUGAGGCUCGAAAGCGUGGGGAGCAAACAGG